UACGUAGGUGGCAAGCGUUGUCCGGAUUUACUGGGCGUAAAGAGCGCGCAGGCGGUCGUGCCAGUCGCGUGUGAAAGCCCCCGGCUCAACUGGGGAGGGUCACGCGAUACUGCUCGACUCGAAGGCAGGAGAGGGAAGUGGAAUUCCCGGUGUAGUGGUGAAAUGCGUAGAUAUCGGGAGGAACACCAGUGGCGAAGGCGACUUCCUGGCCUGUUCUUGACGCUGAGGCGCGAAAGCUAGGGUAGCAAACGGG
RNAcentral lists this ribosomal RNA (253 nucleotides) under uncultured bacterium. RNAcentral's name for it is "partial 16S ribosomal RNA". It matches the Rfam family "Bacterial small subunit ribosomal RNA", at positions 524 to 776 of the family's 1533-position model. The record is from RNAcentral.